Molecule: long non-coding RNA, 12263 nt
Filed under: Manihot esculenta (cassava)
Lineage: Eukaryota; Viridiplantae; Streptophyta; Magnoliopsida; Malpighiales; Euphorbiaceae
Description: long non-coding RNA (MESC_LNC004242)
Source: RNAcentral
AAAUCCUGAAUUUUUCCCUUAUCUUCUCUUUCAGCAGCCGAUUGCUAUACCCUUUUUUUUUUUUUUUCUCGCCCCUCACUAUCUCUCUCACUUCGGCCAUUGCUCGUGCUCCUGCUUGUGUGCUGUUGUUGCUCUCGUUUUGCCGGUGUCGUUGUGCUGCUCUUGCUUCGUCUGCGUUGCUGCUUCUCUCGCUUUGCCUGCAUUGCUGAUGUGCUUGCUUCACUGGUAUCAUUGUGCUGCUCUCACUUUGCCUAUGUCGUGGCCGCUCUCUCCGUUUAUUGUUCUCAAUCUUACUGUCGCUCUUACUUUACAAGCUAUAGAGCUAGACGUAGACUAUCUCUCGUGUUGCUUGUGGUCUCCCUCUACUAUCAUCACGGUUGCCGUUUGUUUUGCUUGUUUUUUCUUAAAUCUACAUAUUUUUAUUUUGUGAAAGAAUCUGCAUUCUGUAUUUUUAAAUCUAUUUAUAUUUCUAAAUCUAUUUGUUGAUAAAUUUUAAAUGCAAGAUUUUUCAAUAAUGAAAGAAAUUUUUUGAAUUAAGAAUGAUUAUUUUUCUACAUGAAAAAUCAAAAUUGUAAGGGUUUAGAGUUUGUAUUUUAGAUUUGUUCUAUUGCUAAUUUUUGGAUGAAAUUUUAUUUUUGAUGUUGCAAGGUAUUCAUUGAAUAAGGGGAUUUUGAAAUGAAUAAACGAAUAGAAAUUUUUUGAUUCAAUUCAAUUAUUACUUUAAAACGGUUUGAUUCUAUUUUGUAAUAUAUAUAUAUAUAUAUUACAGAUUAUAAUUAAUUAAUUAAAUUUACUAAAUAAAAUAAUAAAAAAAUAUUUAAUAAUUAAAUAAUGUGUAAUUUUAUUGAAAUUGUAUAAUAUAUAAAAUACACUAUUGAAAUUACAUAUUAUUUCGUGCGACUAUAAAUUAUUUAAAUAUAUAUAUAUAUAAAUUGAUUUUUCAGUACAGAUUCAAUAAGAUUUUGGUUUAGUUUUGAUAUAAUUUUUGAUAAAAAAAUCAGAACUAAAUAUCUAAAUAAAUUUUAUAUGGUUUGAUUUUUCAACAAUUGAUUUGUUUUCAAUUUUAAUUCAAUAUGAUUUUUCAGUUUGAUUUAAAAUUUUAAAGAAUUGUGCACAGCCCCAAUACAGGGGUAAAAUAUUUUGACAAACACCCAUUAUUGAUAUGGUAUUUUUCACCUACUUCAUAAAUAAUUUCUUAUGCCCUCUCCUUCGUGAAUAAAAUUUUUUUAAUACCUUUUAAAUAAAAACCCCAAUUGCUGAGGCAUUCUUAUUUACGCAUGAGAAUCAUUUUGUUUACUGGAAGACAAGUUUCAGGAGUGGUUAAUUAACUAAUCCUUGUAAAUCAUGUAUGUAAUAUCUGGCUAAACUCCAGUAUCAGAAUUCCUACCGUUCGGUGGAAUCUCGGAUGUCGGAAACCUCUAGAAGGGUAAAAUCAUGUUUUUAUAAAAUAUUUUGAUGUAUUUUAUGAUUUUAAGUAAAAAAGAAGUAGAGUUUUUAAAUGAAAAUAGCCUUGGAAGAAGACCCAGGUUCGGCCGCUGAAUCCCAAGUUCGGCCGCCAAACGUGCAUGCGUUUCGGGAGUGCGUUAGGCCCCCGAAAGCAUAAGUGAGGGAAGUCCAGGUUCGGCCGCCGAACAUGGCAUGCGGAGGCACGUUAGGCCCCCGAAAGUGGUCUGGCCAGCCACCUAUAAAGGGGUCCCCAUGUCCGAACGGGAGAGCUUUUCUCCCCGUUUUCGGCCAAGGUGAGUUCUCCGCCGUCCCUCAUCGAUUUUGAGCUUCUUCCUUCGAAUCUUCAUGAUUUUCUUAUGAGUUUUCACUUGGUUUGAAGAUCCUUGAGCAAAAGAGCAAGUUUGGAAGCUUGGAGACCAAAGAGUGGAUUUCUCCCUACCUCCAAGCUAGGAUCGUCUUUCCUCUCGAUCUUCAAGAGGUAAGCUUAGAUCCAACCUUUUUUGCAUGUUUUAAACAAGUUUUAUGAAGAUCUAUGGAGUAGAAAUGCAUGUUAGGUUAUUGUUAUGUUUAUGGGUUUAUGUAUGUUUAUGAACAAUGUGGGUUGUUUGAUGUGUUGUAGUUGGGGUUUAGGAUAGUUUGAAGCCCCUAGGAGCUUGUAUGCUUGAGUGUGCAUAUUGUAGAAUAGGAAAAUGCAUGAUUGAUUGAGUUGGGAGGCAUUUGUGCAUGUUGGAGCCGGGUUUCUGUCCUUUGGGAGAAACCAGGUUCGGCAGCCAAAGGGACUUUCGGCCGCCGAACCUGCCUGUGGAGGCAACUUUCGGCUGCCGAAGCCUGCCCCCGAAAGUAGACUUUCGUCUCUGGAGGGGACUUUCGGCCGCCGAAGGUGCCGCCGAACAUGCAUGAGUUUCAUCUCUGGAGGGAACCUUCGGCUGCCGAAAGUGCCGCCGAAGGUGCCUGACUUUCGGCUCUGGAGGGACUUUCGGCCGCCGAACCUGCUGCCGAAAGUGCCCUGUUCAGCCCUCCUUUGCAUGAUUUCCUUGAUUGUUUUAAGGUGUUUUAGGGGGGUUUUUGGGGGAUGUUUUUAGAGUUAUGUUUAUGUAUGUUAGGUCCCUUAUUUGAGUCCACCUGUGUAGGUUCGAACCCGAGGAACCAAGGACCCCAGCAGUGAGUUCAGCUGCUUCGGUGUUUGUCAGAGUCAAACAGAGGUGAGUGGAACUAAACUUAAUCUUUUAAAUUGAGAAAUUAAAUGUUUUAUCAUUUUUCAUGCAUCAUGAUUAUGCAAUAGGAUGAUUGCAUUAGAUUUCACGAAAAUGUUGCAUCGCAUUCUCUGUUGUUGAUGUGGGUGAAUGUUGGAUGACCCAAUUAGUCCCUGAGGAAAGACCAGGACCCUAUUCUACGGCCUGGCACAGAUAUGGAACUUGAAGACCAGGUGUCCAGAGGAGGCCCUGGGGCAAUGGUAAGUAAUGUAUGACAUGACAGGAAGACCAGGACCCUAUGCUACGGCCUGGCACGAAAUGAUGCUGGGACUAUUUGGUGACAAGUUCACCCAACCCUUGAUGUGAAUUGUCUGAGCUAUGAUGCAUUUCAUAUGAGCAUGUUUGUUAACAUGUUUUUAUGGUUCUACUCACUGGGCUUGUUAGCUCACCCCUCUCCCUUGACCCCCAGGUUUGCAGGUACAUGAUAGAGCAGGAGGUCGGAUAGAGUAAAGUCUAAGUCAUGUUAUAGCUCGUAGUGGACAUGAUGGAUAUUGUAAUGUAAAGUUGAGUUAUGUAAUGUAAUGAUGAUAUUGAGGUCUAGAAGUGUGCUUGACCAUAGUAUGUUGUAAAUCCCUUUUUAGAUACAUUAUCUUAAAUGUUUAUGGAUGACUAUGUUUAACCAAACUUAAUGCAUGAUUAUGUCACCCCAUUGGAGCAUCGAUGAGGACUCCAAGGUGGGGUUAAUGUUAAUGUCUAUGUUAAUGCAUGCACAGGUUGAGUUUGGUUUAUGAAUGAAAAAGAAAAGUUCAAUUUUUUUAUGUAUAUUGUUGAUCAUGUAUGGGAUUAAUCAGGUUCACAGGUUGCAUGUUAGGCUUGCUACGGGUCCCGGCGGCCUUAAGCCGAUCUGGAUCCUAGCGCCGGUAGCGGUCCGAUUUUCGGGUCGUUACAGAGUGGUAUCAGAGCCCUAGGUUCAUAUGGUCAGACCUAGAGUGUUAGGCUCAUAGAUGUUGUAGAAGGUCAAGCACAAUAGGAAAAUCAUGUCCACUAGGAUAGAAUGUAGAGUCCUGUCUUGAAUGAUGAUGUGUAAUGUCAUGAUAAUAUGCAUGUGCAUUAAUGAUAUGUUAUGUAUGUGAUGCGGGUUCAUGUGUUUGCACAUGAACCAUAUGAUGCUAAUGUUUAUGUGAUGUGUGCUGUUUUUCAGUAAACAGGAUGAGAGGAACUCGUCGAUCUGCACGAUUGACUGGAGUACCACCGGAGGAUGAGGGCAUGAGUGCCCGUCCCCCUGCAUUGCCAAGGGCAAUGUCUAGCAGGUCCAGCAGGGAAAGAGCAGUAAGAGACCCUAGAAGGUCUUUGGAUCUAGGUAGAAGCAGAUCAGUGAGGGGAACCGUGCAAGGGGAUAUGUCAGAGGAUGUGGGGGAUCAGAUGGAUGUGGAUCAGAGGAGGGAUGGCAGUCUCGGAGUAAGUAUGUCAGAAGAGGGCAUGGGAGAAUCCCAAGGAGGCACUCAGGCCUCGAGAUUUGUUCAGCCACCUUACUACCCACCCUUUUCACAAAAUCCCGGGUAUUCGAUGGGAGGUACAUCGGAUUACCCUAGCUUUAAUCCUUAUCCCACCCACAUGCCAUACCCACCUUACUAUCCACCAUACCCACAGUACCCUAUGUACCCACCCCCAUCUUUCUAUCCAGGUACAGCAAACCCUACCCCAGGGGAUGUUGCACCUCCUCCACCACCAGCAGCACCUGCUGUCCCAGCAACCCAAGACCCUAAACCUAGCUCAUCUGGAGGAAGCAAGGUCAAGAUGACCGACUACAUGAAGCUGGGUGCUCCCCAGUUUGAAACCGGUGAUGACCCAUUUGUGUACCUUGAGAGGGUCAGAACGAUUACAGAUGAGAUAGGAGCUGAUGACAGUAGAGCCAUUCAGAUGGCCGGGUUCACACUGAAAUGUAAGAAAGCCCGAGAGUGGUUUAAGAGCUAUGUGAGCCCGAGGGUGGACAGCCUAUCAUGGGAGGAGUUUGCAAAUGAGUUUGCAGGAUGGGCUUUCCCUGACAGUUCAAGAGAGUUGAAGAUGAUUGAGUUCGAACAGCUGAGGCAGACGGAUGAGAUGAGUGUGGAUGAGUUCACAGACAGGUUUUUGGAGCUGUUGCCGUUUGCUGGGCAGAAUCUGGAUACUGAACAGAAGAAGUCAAGGAGGUAUAUCAUGAAGCUCCAUUCUAGGUAUUCCUCCUUGAUUCAGUCAGCAGAGAGGGAGGGUUUCCAUGCCAUAGUGGAUAUGGCUCGGAGGAUGGAGGCUAGUGCUAUCAUCGAAUGGAAAGUCAAACAGUCAGUGGCACAGUCUUCUGGUUCUAAAACCCCAGGUGGGGGAAGGUUAGAUCCCUCUACUUUGAGUGCAGCAGCUUCAGGCAGUAAGAGAUGGAGUAAAGCCAAGUCUAAGAAGAACAAGUUUUGGAGCAAGAUCAAGUCAGGUCUGGGAUUAGGGAGUGGCUCAAGCUCUGGUGCAGAUAAUGCAGUAUGCAAGAAAUGUGGGAAGCCAUACAAGGGGGUAUGUCUGGUUGGGACGUCAGUCUACUUCAGAUGUGGGCAGGAGGGACACAUAGCACGGGAGUGUCCUAGGCCAGCUUUUGGGGUACAGUCUCAGCAGACAGCUUCAGGCAGUGUGGCUCAGCCAAUAGCUCCAGCCGCGACUCAGGCUAUUGGAAAAGGCAGAGGGAGAGGGGCAGCCUCUUCUUCAACGGGUUUCAGGGGUUAAGGUCCAUCAGCUCUAGCACGGAUCUUCACUAUGACUCAGCAAGAGGCAAACACAUCCAACACCGUGGUGUCAGGUAAUCUCAUCAUUGGUUGUUCAGAUGUGUAUGCAUUAAUGGACCCUGGUGCAUCUCAUUCCUUCAUUGCUCCGAGAGCCGUCGAGAGGUUGGGAUUGAUGGUCUCUGGGUUAGAGUGUGCCCUAUGGGUCAGUGGACCCAAGUGUGACCCGUCAGUGGCAGAGUCAGUUUGCCAGUAUAGUCCAGUUUUUAUGGAGGGAAGAUGUCUUUCCGCCGACCUUGUGGUUCUAGAUUUGACAGAUUUUGACGUCAUUCUAGGGAUGGAUUGGUUAUCUACCCAUGGUGCUACCUUGGACUGCAGGGACAAGGUAGUCAAGUUCAGAUGUCAGGAUGGGUCAGAGGUUGUCUUCAAAGGAGACACUGGGAGUACACCUAGAGGUUUGAUAUCAGCCCUACAGGCUCGUAGGCUACUCAGGAGGGGUUGUCAGGGUUUUCUAGCUCAUGUGAGAGAGCUGGAUAGUCAUGUCAGAGAGCCCGCCUCAGUGCCAGUGGUGUGAGAGUUCUUAGAUGUUUUCCCAGACAAGCUGCCAGGUUUACCACCUACUAGGGAGAUAGAGUUUGAAAUUGAAUUGAUGCCUGGAACUAGACCGAUCUCUAUUCCUCCCUACAGGAUGGCACCAGCAGAAUUGAAGGAGCUUAAGGAGCAGUUGCAAGAGUUGGUAGAUAGAGGAUUCAUCCGACCGAGUACCUCACCCUGGGGUGCUCCAGUGCUAUUUGUGAAAAAGAAGGAUGGAUUUCUCAGACUUUGUAUCGACUACAGGCAGUUGAAUAAGGUCACUACCAAGAAUAAGUACCCGCUGCCAAGGAUCGACGAUCUAUUCGACCAGCUAGCAGGAGCAGGUUGUUUCUCCAAAAUAGAUAUGAGAUCGGGGUAUCAUCAGCUGAGGAUAAGGGAAGAGGAUGUACCGAAGACAACAUUUAGGACCAGAUAUGGGCAUUAUGAGUUCCUUGUAAUGCCGUUCGGAUUAACCAAUGCCCCUGCAGCAUUCAUGGAUCUCAUGAACAGAGUUUUCAGUCAAUACCUGGAUCACUUUGUUAUUGUCUUCAUAGAUGAUAUCUUAGUGUAUUCCAGGAAUGCAGAGGAGUAUGCCCAUCAUCUGAGGUUAGUUCUGCAGACCUUGAGAGAACAUGGCUUGUAUGCCAAGUUCUCCAAGUGUGAGUUCUGGCUGAGGAGCAUUUCAUUCUUGGGGCAUGUGGUGUCAGAAAAUGGAAUCGAGAUAGACCCCAAGAAAGUGGAAGCUGUAGCUAACUGGCCAAGACCCACCACAGUGACAGAGAUCAAGAGUUUCUUGGGUUUGGCAGGUUACUACAGGAGGUUCGUUCAGAACUUCUCUAAAAUUGCAGCUCCCAUGACCAGAUUAUCAAAGAAGAACCAGAGAUUCGUGUGGACCGACCAGUGUGAAGAGAGCUUUGAAGAGCUAAAGAAGAGAUUGACUUCAGCACCGGUGUUAGCUCUGCCGACUUGUAAUGAGGACUUCACAGUCUUUUGCGAUGCAUCCUGUGUGGGACUGAGUUGUGUGCUAAUGCAGAAUGAAAGGGUGAUUGCUUAUGCUUCUAGACAGUUAAAAAAGCAUGAGUUGAAUUACCCUACACAUGACCUAGAGAUGGCAACAGUAAUCUUUGCACUCAAUAUGUGGAGGCAUUACCUCUAUGGGGUUAAAUGUGAGAUCUUCACCGAUCAUAAGAGCCUGCAGUACAUCUUGAGUCAAAGGGAUCUGAAUUUGAGGCAGAGGAGAUGGGUAGAACUGCUUAGUGACUAUGAUUGCAAGAUCCAGUACCAUCCGGGUAAGGCGAAUGUUGUGGCAGACGCCUUAAGCCGGAAAUCACUUGGCAGUUUGUCCCAUAUUGUAGCAGAGAGAAGACCAGUGGUGAGGCAGUUCUUCGAGCUCAUGAAUGAAGGUCUACAGUUGGAGUUGUCUGGUACAUGUGCUUUAGUAGCCCAGAUGAGAGUGGCACCCGUGUUUCUGGAGCAGGUGGCUUAGAAACAGCAUGAGGACCCAGAGUUAGUGAAGAUUGCCAGGACUGUUCAUUCAGGCAAGGAUAGUGAGUUCAGAUUCGACAGCAAGGGGAUCCUUCGCUAUGGGAGCAGACUUUGUGUACCAGAUGACAUAGGGCUGAAGGGAGACAUUAUGAGAGAGGCUCAUAAUGCCAGAUACAGUGUUCACCCUGGAGCCACCAAGAUGUAUCAAGAUAUGAAGAAAGUUUAUUGGUGGCCAGCUAUGAAGAGAGAAGUGGCACAGUUCGUGUCAGCCUGUGAAGUAUGUCAGAGGGUGAAGCUGGAACAUCAGAAGCCGGCUGUAAUGCUUAACCCACUACCUAUUCCAGAGUGGAAAUGGGAGAAUAUAGCUAUGGACUUCGUGGUGGGGUUACCGGCAGCGUCCAACAGAUUGGACUCCAUAUGGGUGAUUGUGGACAGACUCACCAAAUCUGCUCACUUCAUCCCUGUCAGGAGUGGCUAUUCUGUGGACAAAUUGGCGUAGGUGUAUGUUGAUGAGGUUGUCAGGCUGCAUGGGGUCCCUGUUUCAAUAGUGUCCGAUAGAGGGCCCCAGUUCACCUCCAAGUUUUGGCGGAGUCUGCAGAAUGCCAUAGGUACCAGGUUGGAUUUUAGCACUGCUUUCCACCCACAGACGGACGAACAGUCAGAAAGAACCAUCCAGACAAUAGAGGAUAUGCUCAGAAUGUGUGUGCUGGACUUUGGAGGUUCUUGGAGGCAACAUCUACCUUUGGUGGAGUUUGCCUACAAUAACAGCCAUCAUGCUAGCAUCGGGAUGGCUCCAUAUGAAGCUUUGUAUGGAAGGAAGUGCAGAUCACAUGUUUGCUUGGAAGAAGUUGGAGAAAAGGCCUUGGCAGGGCCUGAGCUAGUGGAGAUCACCAGCAGGAUGGUACCCAUAAUCAGAGAAAGGAUCAAGACUGCUGCGAGCAGACAGAAGAGUUAUGCAGAUGUCCGCAGAAGGCAAGUAGAGUUUCAGGAGGGGGAUUUAGUAUUGCUCAAAGUGUCUCCAAUGAAAGGGGUGAUCCGGUUCGGGAAGAAAGGUAAGUUGGCUCCACGGUACAUCGGACCCUUUGAAGUCUUGCAAAAGAUUUGGAAUGUAUCGUACAAGCUGGACUUGCCUGCCUCAAUGGAGAGAAUCCAUCCGGUUUUCCAUGUUUCUAUGUUGAGAAAGUUCGUGUCAGAUCCGGGCAAGGUUCUUAGUGAGCCUGAUGUGGAGAUCCAAGAGGAUCUCACCUAUGUUUAGCAGCCGGUACGGAUCCUAGACACCCAGAUCAGGAAGCUAAGGAACAAGGAAAUCCCGAUGGUGAAAGUCCUUUGGAAUCACCACAAUAUUGAAAAGUGCACUUGGGAGACACGGGAGUCCAUGCUCCAGCAAUAUCCCCAUCUCUUCUAAGGUAAGUUUUAUGUGCUUUGUAGGUGUGUUCAUGUUUGUUGCUAUGCUUAUGUGUUUGGUGAACAUUCGAGGAUGAAUGUUCUUAAGGGGGGGAGAAUGUAAUACCCGGCUAGACUCCGGUAUCGGAAUUCCUACCGUUCGGUGGAAUCUCGGAUGUCGGAAACCUCUAGAAGGGUAAAAUCAUAUUUUUAUAAAAUGUUUUGAUGUAUUUUAUAAUUUUAAGUAAAAAGGAAGUAGAGUUUUUAAAUGAAAAUAGCUUUGGAAGAAGACCCAGGUUCGGCCGCCGAACGUUCAUGUGUUUCGGGAGUGCGUUAGGCCCCCGAAAGCAUAAGUGAGGGAAGUCCAGGUUCGGCCGCCGAACAUGGCAUGCAUGCGGAGGCACGUUAGGCCCCCGAAAGUGGUCUGGCCAGCCACCUAUAAAGGGGUCCCCAUGUCCGAACGGGAGAGCUUUUCUCCCCGUUUUCGGCCAAGGUGAGUUCUCCGCCGUCCCUCAUCGAUUUUGAGCUUCUUCCUUCGAAUCUUCAUGAUUUUCUUAUGAGUUUUCACUUGGUUUGAAGAUCCUUGAGCAAAAUAGCAAGUUUGGAAGCUUGGAGACCAAAGAGUGGAUUUCUCCCUACCUCCAAGCUAGGAUCGUCUUUCCUCUCGAUCUUUAAGAGGUAAGCUUAGAUCCAACCUUUCUUGCAUAUUUUAAACAAGUUUUAUGAAGAUCUAUGGAGUAGAAAUGCAUGUUAGGUUAUUGUUAUGUUUAUGGGUUUAUGUAUGUUUAUGAACAAUGUGGGUUGUUUGAUGUGUUGUAGUUGGGGUUUAGGAUAGUUUGAAGCCCCUAGGAGCUUGUAUGCUUGAGUAUGCAUGUUGUAGAAUAGGAAAAUGCAUGAUUGAUUGAGUUGGGAGGCAUUUGUGCAUGUUGGAGCCGGGUUUCUGUCCUUUGGGAGAAACUAGGUUCGGCAGCCGAAGGGACUUUCGGCCGCCAAACCUGCCUGUGGAGGCAACUUUCGGCUGCCGAAGCCUGCCCCCGAAAGUAGACUUUCGUCUCUGGAGGGGACUUUCGGCCGCCAAAGGUGCCGCCGAACAUGCAUGAGUUUCGUCUCUGGAGGGAACCUUCGGCCGCCGAAAGUGCCGCCGAAGGUGCCUGACUUUCGGCUCUGGAGGGACUUUCGGCCGCCGAACCUGCCGCCGAAAGUGCCCUGUUCAGACCUCCUUUGCAUGAUUUCCUUGAUUGUUUUAAGGUGUUUUAGGGGGUUUUUGGGGGAUGUUUUUAGAGUUAUGUUUAUGUAUGUUAGGUCCCUCAUUUGAGUCCACCUGUGUAGGUUCAGACCCGAGGAACCGAGAACCCCAGCAGUGAGUUCAGCUGCUUCGGUGUUUUUUAGAGUCAACCAGAGGUGAGUGGAACUAAACUUAAUCUGUAAUACCCGGCUGGAGUCCGGCAUCGGAAUUCUACUUUCCGGUGGAGUCCGGGAUGUCGAAAGUCUCGAGAAGGGUUAGAUUUAUGGUUUUCUAAAAUGUUUUGAUAUGUUCAUAGUUUUAAAGCAUAAGGAAUGAAGUUUGUGAGUGAAAUGAACCAAGGCAGAAAAGCCAGGUUCGGCCGCCGAACAUGCAUGGCUUUCGGUUUCACGUGUGGCCGCCGAAGGUGGUCUGGCCAGCCACCUAUAAAAGGCCCUCAGUCGGUUGAAAGGAUAAGGCACGCCGAUUCCUUUCGAUUUCUGAGGUGAGACUCUGUCCUUGAGUAUUUUACAUGUUUUUAUCCAAUCUUGCAAAGGUUUGAUUAGUUUUUAUGUUCUUUUGAAGGUUUUAAGCUAAAAACUCAAAGUUGUGUAUUUUGGAGAGUUUGAAGGAGAGUUGCUCCAAAACUCCACGUUAGGAUUGUUCAUCUUCUUGGUUUCAAGAGGUAAGUGAAGAUCCUGAGCUUGUUUUUAUUUUUUCUGAAGGUUUUAUGAGGUUUUGGGGGAGAGUUGCAUGAAUAGGGUUAUUUGUGAGGUUUUGAUGAUUUUGUGAGUAACGCUUGGUUAUGUGUUGUGUGUGUUGUGUGUUUGGGGUUUUAAGGCAGUUUUUGACCCCUUUGAGCAUAUACAUGAGUGUAUGCAAGUUGAGGGAUUGAGGUGUUUGAGUUGGAGAGAGUUUUGGUGCUUUUGGCGAGAGGCAGAGCAAGUUUCUGCCUUACGGAUGAACUCAGGUUCGGCCGCCGAACCCAUGAGGAGGUGGCUUCGGCUGCCCAAGCUUGCCCCCGAGCUUUUGGACUUUCGGCUCUGGAAGGGAGUUCGGCCGCUGAAGGUGCAGCCGAAGGUUAGAGACUUUCGUCUCUGGAGUACCUUUCAGCCUCCGAAACUUGCCCCCGAAAGGGUUCGGCUGCCGAAAAUAGAGUUUCGGCCGCAGAAGGUGCAUGAGUUUCGUCUCUGGAGAGGACUUUCGGCUGCCAAACCUGCCGCCGAAAGUGUCCUAUCCAGCCUUCUUUUGCAUGCUUUGCAUGGAUGUUUGAGUGAGUUUAAGGGGAUUCUUGGGGAGUUUAAUAGAGUUGUUCAUAAGCUAGUUGGUCCCUCAUUUGAGUCUAUCUGUAUAGGUACAGACCAGAGGAACCAGAGAGAGCAGCAGUGAGUACUGCUCCAGAGUUUUCAGAGCCUGCAGAGUCAGUCCAGCUAGCCAGAGGUGAGUGGAACUAAACUUAAUGUUUUUAAUUGAGAAAUAAACUGCUUUUAGCAUAAUUCAUGCAUCAUGAGUAUACAGUAGGUUGUUUGCAUUAGCAUUCACGAAUAUAUUGCAUUGCAUAGUUAUUUGUUGAUGUGGGUGAAUGCUGAAUGAUCCAAUAGUCUCUAAGAGAAGUCCAGGAGCCUUUGACUAUGCCCUGGCAGGUUUAUAGUAAAGUCCAGGAGCCUUUGACUACGCCCUGGCAAUGGUAAGUACAGAGGUGUUAUAAACACACAUAUAUACAUAUAACAGGAAGACCAGGUGCUCGAUUCUACGCCUUGGCACGGCAGAGUUACCGAGACUAUGUGGUGACAGGUUACCCUUGAUGUGGAUUGUCUGUGGUUUGAUGCAUUCCAUCAGAGCAUGUGUUAAUGACUAUUUUACUGUUCUACUCACUGGGCUAUAGAGCUCAUCCCACUCCCUUAACCCCAGUUUUGCAGGUUCAGUGUACAGUGUACAGAAGAGAUCCACAGAGUACAGAAAGAGUAAAGAGAUUUGUCAUAGCUUAGAGUGGACAUGUAAUAUUAAAGAGAUGUAAUAGUUGUGUAUAAAGUUAGAAAUGUGCUUGACUUAGUGAUGUUUGUGUUGUAAAUCUUUUGUUAUGUACAUGAUCUGAUCUGUAUAUCUUUAUGUUUUACAAAGUAUGUGAAAAACCAGGCUUAACAGGUAUGAGUUAACCCAUCUAGAGCAAGCUCUAGUCAAGGGUACAGAGUACAGAGCACAGAGAUAGUGCAUGCACAG